CUACGGGGUGCUCCAGUGGGGAAUAUUGCACAAUGGAGGAAACUCUGAUGCAGCAACGCCGCGUGGAGGAUGACACUUUUCGGAGCGUAAACUCCUUUUAUAUAGGAAGAUAAUGACGGUACUAUAUGAAUAAGCACCGGCUAACUCCGUACCAGCAGCCGCGGUAAUACGGAGGGUGCAAGCGUUACUCGGAAUCACUGGGCGUAACGAGCGUGUAGGCGGGUUAAUAAGUCAGAAGUGAAAUCCUAUGGCUCAACCAUAGAACUGCUUUUGAAACUGUUAACCUAGAGUGUGGGAGAGGUAGAUGGAAUUUCUGGUGUAGGGGUAAAAUCCGUAGAGAUCAGAAGGAAUACCGAUUGCGAAGGCGAUCUACUGGAACAUAACUGACGCUGAGACGCGAAAGCGUGGGGAGCAAACAGGAUUAGAUACCCGUGUAGUC
This 439-nucleotide ribosomal RNA is filed under the name uncultured bacterium. Its description in RNAcentral is "partial 16S ribosomal RNA". It matches the Rfam family "Bacterial small subunit ribosomal RNA", at positions 339 to 795 of the family's 1533-position model. The record is from RNAcentral.